Molecule: long non-coding RNA, 321 nt
Filed under: Homo sapiens (human)
Lineage: Eukaryota; Metazoa; Chordata; Mammalia; Primates; Hominidae
Description: HSALNT0364691
Source: RNAcentral
CCCCUCUUCUGCAGGUCUGCUGCAAUUCGCUGGGGGUCCACUACAGAUACUGUUCACCUGGGUAUCAUCGAUGGAGGCUGCAGAACAGCAAAGAUUGCUGCCUGCUCCUUUCUAUGGAAGCUUCGUCCCAGAGAGGCACUUACCUGAUGCCUGUUGGAACUCUCCUGCAUAAGGAAGAAACUAAGUUCCAGUACUUGGAUGUCAACUUGCUGACGACAAGGCACUUCCUUACAAUGAGCCUGGAAUUCUAAGCAGCAGUUUCACAAUCUGUAAUUGCACGUUUCUGCCCUUUACAAUAAAGAAAUACACAGUUUCCUUUCA